GACGAACGCUGGCGGCGUGCUUAACACAUGCAAGUCGAACGGAAAGGCCCUGCUUUUGUGGGGUGCUCGAGUGGCGAACGGGUGAGUAACACGUGAGUAACCUGCCCUUGACUUUGGGAUAACUUCAGGAAACUGGGGCUAAUACCGGAUAGGAGCUCCUGCUGCAUGGUGGGGGUUGGAAAGUUUCGGCGGUUGGGGAUGGACUCGCGGCUUAUCAGCUUGUUGGUGGGGUAGUGGCUUACCAAGGCUUUGACGGGUAGCCGGCCUGAGAGGGUGACCGGCCACAUUGGGGCUGGGAUACGGCCCAGACUCCUACGGGGGGCAGCAGUGGGGAAUAUUGCACAAUGGGCGGAAGCCUGAUGCAGCAACGCCGCGGGCGGGAUGACGGCCUUCGGGGUGGAAACCGCUUUCGCCUGGGACGAAGCGUGAGUGACGGUAAUGGGUAAAGAAGCACCGGCUAACUACGUG
RNAcentral lists this ribosomal RNA (468 nucleotides) under uncultured bacterium. Its description in RNAcentral is "partial 16S ribosomal RNA". It matches the Rfam family "Bacterial small subunit ribosomal RNA", at positions 28 to 507 of the family's 1533-position model. The record is from RNAcentral.